RNAcentral lists this ribosomal RNA (1936 nucleotides) under human gut metagenome. RNAcentral describes it as "bacterial LSU rRNA". It matches the Rfam family "Bacterial large subunit ribosomal RNA", at positions 505 to 2449 of the family's 2925-position model. The record is from RNAcentral.
GAGGGAAAGGUGAAAAGCACUUCGAACAGAAGAGUGAAAUAGUCCCUGAACCCAUACGCCUACAAGCAGUCGGAGCCGCUUCGUGCGGUGACGGCGUGCCUUUUGCAUAAUGAGCCUACGAGUUACUCAUCACCAGCGAGGUUAAGUACUUCAGGUACGUAAGCCGAAGCGAAAGCGAGUCUGAAUAGGGCGUCAAGUUGGUGGUGGUAGACGCGAAACCUUAGUGAUCUACCCAUGGGCAGGGUGAAGGUUUGGUAACACAAACUGGAGGCCCGAACCGGUAAACGUUGAAAAGUUUUCGGAUGACCUGUGGGUAGGGGUGAAAGGCCAAUCAAACUGGGAAAUAGCUCGUACUCUCCGAAAUGCAUUUAGGUGCAGCCUCUGUUGUUUUGUUCUAGAGGUAGAGCUACUGAUUGGAUGCGAGGGCUUCACCGCCUAUCAAAUCCGGCCAAACUCCGAAUGCUAGAACAUGAAGACAGGGAGUGAGCCAGCGGGUGCUAAGGUCCGUUGACGAAAGAGGGAGAACUCAGACCAUCAGCUAAGGUCCCCAAUUAUAUGCUAAGUUGGAAUUAAAACGGGGUGGGACUGCUUAGACAGCUAGGAUGUUGGCUUGGAAGCAGCCAUUCAUUUAAAGAGUGCGUAACAGCUCACUAGUCGAGCGGUCCUGCAUGGAUAAUACGCGGGCAUAAGCAUAUAACCGAAGCUAUGGGAUUGUAGAUGAUACAAUCGGUAGGAGAGCAUUCCAUUCAGCGUAGAAGCAGUAUCGUGAGGUAUUGUGGAGCGGAUGGAAAAGCAAAUGUAGGCAUAAGUAACGAUAAUGCGGGUGAGAACCCCGCACGCCGAAAGAUCAAGGAUUCCCCGGCAAUGUCAAUCAUCCGGGGGUAAGUCGGAUCCUAAGGGUAAGCCGAGUGGCGAUCCCGAUGGUAAACAGGUUAAUAUUCCUGUACUGAUCAUAACUGCGAUGCAGCGACGCAGAGGUGACACUGCUGCGUACUGACGGAAUAGUACGUUGAAACCCGUAUUCUUUGAUACCGGUAGUGAAGCACGCCGGUAGAGAUGAAAGGUGAUAGUACCGCAAUGCUUCGGUUGCGCGGAUAAUGCAGGUAAGCUGACUGCCAAGAAAACCUGCUAAGCUUCAGGUAAUGAUCAUCCGUACUGUAAACGGACACACGUGAUCAGGUAGAAAAUACUAAGGCGCUCGAGAGAUUCAUGGUUAAGGAACUAGGCAAAAUGGUCCUGUAACUUCGGGAUAAAGGACGCUCUUGUGAAAGAGCCGCAGAUAAUAGGCCCAGGCGACUGUUUACCAAAAACACAUGGCUAUGCUAAUUCGCAAGAAGAUGUAUAUGGCCUGACACCUGCCCGGUGCCGGAAGGUUAAGAGGAGAGCUCAGAGGCAACUCGAAGGUUUGAAUUGAAGCCCCGGUAAACGGCGGCCGUAACUAUAACGGUCCUAAGGUAGCGAAAUUCCUUGUCGGGUAAGUUCCGACCUGCACGAAUGGUGUAACGAUCUGGGUACUGUCUCAACCAUGAGCUCGGUGAAAUUGUAGUUCCGGUGAAGAUGCCGGAUACCCGCAACGGGACGGAAAGACCCCGUGAACCUUUACUGCAGCUUUGCAUUGAUUUUGGGUAACAGAUGUGUAGGAUAGGUCGGAGGCUUUGAUGCUGCGUCGUCAGGCGUAGAGUAGCCGUCGUUGAAAUACGACCCUUUUGUUAUCUGAGGUCUAAUCCCGUUAGGGAGACAUUGCAUGGUGGGUAGUUUGACUGGGGUGGUCGCCUCCAAAAGUGUAACGGAGGCUUCUCAAGGUACCCUCAAGGCGUUUGGUAAUCGUCUGCAGAGUGCAAUGGCAUAAGGGUGCUUGACUGUGAGACCGACACGUCGAUCAGGUUGGAAACAAGAGCAUAGUGAUCCGGUGGUUCCGCAUGGAAGGGCCAUCGCU